GGCGUGCAUAACACAUGCAAGUCGAACGAGAAAUCCCGCCUUCGGGUGGGAGAGUAAAGUGGCGCACGGGUGAGUAACGCGUGGGUAACCUGCCCCUGAAUUCGGGGUAACUCCGCGAAAGCGGUGCUAAUACCGAAUGUCGUCACAGGGACCGUGGUCCCUGGGAUGAAAGGUGACCUCUCCAUGGAAGUUGCCGUUCGGGGAGGGGCUCGCGUACCAUUAGCUUGUUGGUGGGGUAAUGGCCUACCAAGGCUACGAUGGUUAGCUGGUCUGAGAGGAUGAUCAGCCACACUGGCACUGAAACACGGGCCAGACUCCUACGGGAGGCAGCAGUGAGGAAUUUUGCGCAAUGGGGGAAACCCUGACGCAGCAACGCCGCGUGAGUGAAGAAGGCUUUCGGGUCGUAAAGCUCUGUCAAGUGGGAAAAACGUCUUCCCGUUAACAGCGGGAAGGCCUGAUGGUACCACUGGAGGAAGCACCGGCUAACUCCGUGCCAGCAGCCGCGGUAAUACGGAGGGUGCAAGCGUUGUUCGGAAUUACUGGGCGUAAAGAGCGUGUAGGCGGCAAGGUAAGUCAGGCGUGAAAGCCCUGGGCUUAACCCGGGAAGUGCGUUUGAAACUGCCUCGCUCGAGUAUGGGAGAGGAGAGUGGAAUUCCCGGUGUAGAGGUGAAAUUCGUAGAUAUCGGGAGGAACACCCGUGGCGAAGGCGACUCUCUGGACCAAUACUGACGCUGAGACGCGAAAGCGUGGGGAGCAAACAGGAUUAGAUACCCUGGUAGUCCACGCCGUAAACGAUGAGCACUAGGUGUAGCGGGUAUUGACCCCUGCUGUGCCGUAGCUAACGCAUUAAGUGCUCCGCCUGGGGAGUACGGCCGCAAGGCUAAAACUCAAAGGAAUUGACGGAGGCCCGCACAAGCGGUGGAGCAUGUGGUUCAAUUCGACGCAACGCGCAGAACCUUACCCGGGCUUGACAUCCUGGGAAUCCCCGAGGAAACCGGGGAGUGCCUGCUUUGCAGGAGCCCAGUGACAGGUGCUGCAUGGCUGUCGUCAGCUCGUGUCGUGAGAUGUUGGGUUAAGUCCCGCAACGAGCGCAACCCUCGUCCUUAGUUGCCAGCAUUCAGUUGGGCACUCUAAGGAGACUGCCGGUGUUAAACCGGAGGAAGGCGAGGACGACGUCAAGUCCUCAUGGCCCUUAUGCCCGGGGCUACACACGUGCUACAAUGGCCGGUACAAUGGGCUGCGAACCUGUGAAGGGAAGCUAAUCCCAAAAAGCUGGUCUCAGUUCGGAUUGGAGUCUGCAACUCGACUCCAUGAAGGAGGAAUCGCUAGUAAUCGCGCAUCAGCAUG
RNAcentral lists this ribosomal RNA (1347 nucleotides) under uncultured organism. Its description in RNAcentral is "bacterial SSU rRNA". It matches the Rfam family "Bacterial small subunit ribosomal RNA", at positions 41 to 1356 of the family's 1533-position model. The record is from RNAcentral.